Molecule: non-coding RNA, 1914 nt
Organism: Prunus avium (sweet cherry)
Lineage: Eukaryota; Viridiplantae; Streptophyta; Magnoliopsida; Rosales; Rosaceae
Source: RefSeq, a predicted model, not a curated record
UUAUAUUUUUUUUUUAUAAUUGUUUUAAGGUUUUGGGUUUCUUUGUUAACCCCUUUUGAUUUGGAUAGUCUGAAAAUUUACAGUUUUGGCUUUGGUUGAACUAUGAUCAAAAUGGUCGGGUUGUGAAUUUCUCUGGUUUCUAAUUUUGCAGAUGUUUGGUCUUUUGUUGUAAACGAUUUUGAAACCUCAAGUCCAGUACAUGCCUUCUGUUUUGUUGCUUUGACACCAUUUCUUAUGACAUGUUGAUUGGACAUAACUUGUUGCAUUAUUUGUUCUUGUAGUUGCUGUCAUAUAAAGAGUUUUUUUUUAGGUAUUUUUUUUAUUUGUAGGUUUGAGACUUGAAGUUUGUUGAUCAAUAACAUAUUUGUCAAGGUAGAUACCCCUGCAUAGAUUAUCCAUGAAUAAAAUUAGCAAGAAUGUGUUCAUUUUAAAACUUUAGAUGCUAAUGUUGGAUAAUUGAGAGGAGUAAUGUGGUAAAUGUUGUACCAAUAUUUCAUAAUUUUCAGCAAUUUAGAACUUCUCCUUUCCAAAGCUUGGCCACUGCGAAUUUUGGUAUUGCCAAUGGAUGCCACAGCUAGUGGAACCCCAACUAUACAAUACCAUAACAUUCUUGACCAGCUAAUUACCACUAUUGUUGUUGCCACUCCUGUACCAACAUUCAAAAUGAGGCAAUGCCAUCGCUUUGGGACCUUAAUCCCCAGAGAACUCUCUUUAGCUGCCAACCCCUCAAUUGUCCUUCAUGUCCUUACUGCAUGCAAUUUGGAUCCUUAAGACCUUGCAAAGCUAGAGGCAAGUGACCUGUUGCUCUAAAGUUUGGCAAUGUAUUGGUCUUUUAAAUCUUAGAAUUGAUAAUGCUGCUGGUUUGAUUUUGGAUGUGUGUGUUGCAGGCAAUAUGCUCAUUUUUCUGGCAGUCUGCAAACUUUGCUCCUGACUUUGAAUUGUCCAUAUCAGAGCUUGCUACUCUAGACAUGUGCCAAAAGAGUGGUAUAUUUAAGCCAAUGACAGUGGAGAAACGUCAAGAAUUGAAGCAAAGAUGUGGGGGUUUCAUGAAAACUGGUCUUGAAGUUCUUGUUGGCUAGAGAGGCAUGUUUCAGAACGGAGAAAUCACAGGCAAUAGUAGGGCUGGGUCACAGCAUUACUGUAACUUCAAAAGGAGCUAUCUAUUCAUUUGGCUCUAACAACUCAGGACAGCUUGGACAUGGCACCACUGAAGAGGAAAGGAGGCCUUGGCAAAUCAGAUCUCUGCAAGGCAUUCAAAUUGUUCAAGCAGCUGCUGGGGCUGGCAGGACAAUGAUGAUCAGUGAUGCUGGGAAAGUUUAUGCCUUUGGAAACUCAAGAUGAUUCUAUGACGUAGUAAUAACAAGAUAGUUCUAUGAUAUAGUAUAAACAAUGUACUUUUAUGAAAUGGUAUUAACAAUAUUUUUCUAUGGAAUGGUAUUAACAAUGUACUCCUAUGGAAUUGUAUUAAUAAUGUACUCCUAUGGAAUGAUAUUAACAAUGUAUUUCUAAGACAUGGUAUUAACACUGUACUUCUAUGAAAUGGUAUUAACAAUAUUUUUCUAUGGAAUGGUAUUAACAAUGUACUCCUAUGGAAUUGUAUUAAUAAUGUACUCCUAUGGAAUGAUAUUAACAAUGUAUUUCUAAGACAUGGUAUUAACACUGUACUUCUAUGAAAUGGUAUUAACAAUAUUUUUCUAUGGAAUGGUAUUAACAAUGUACUCCUAUGGAAUUGUAUUAAUAAUGUACUCCUAUGGAAUGAUAUUAACAAUGUAUUUCUAAGACAUGGUAUUAACACUGUACUUCUAUGAAAUGGUAUUAACAAUAUUUUUCUAUGGAAUGGUAUUAACAAUGUACUCCUAUGGAAUUGUAUUAAUAAUGUACUCCUAUGGAAUGAUAUUAACAAUGUAUUUCUAA